UUUCCAUGAAAAUUGUUUUUCCCGACCGCGAUUUAGCGCGAGCCAUUAUCUCGUAUUUCUCUGAAAGCUUUAAAAGGAACAAAAAAAUGGAAAGAGCAAGGCACAAGACGUCCAGAAGAAGGGAGUAAAAAGAAAAGAGACAGGUAGAAAGAGAGAUGAAAAGGGAGCUGGGUUAGAUUCUUAAAUGAGCAAAGAUAGGAGAAAAAGAAAGAGGAAAAGGAGAAAUUAAGUGAGAAUGAAGAAGGGAGGAAGAUAAAAGAAGCAAAAGACAGCAAAUAAAUCCGAGGGAGGCAGUUCUGUAGAAAAUUGAGGGAGGCUUAGGAAAAGUUGUUGAAAUUCUCCAAUAUGUAUGGUCAAGGCAGUUCUAAUCCCCAGUCUGGCAGCCAAGGUCCUCAAACACCAAUUGCCCCUCCAUACUUACACCGUCCACCUCCGCUCUCCCACAGUUUCCAACAAGGCCCUCUACCUCCACGACCUCCUCACACUAGUCAGCCAAGUUUGCCUGGAUAUCAGCAUGUUUCUAUGCCCCAACAUCUCGCAGUUCAGCAACUUGCACCUGGCAGGACGCCUAACCCGGGUCAGCCUUAUUUGCACUCUUCUGCAACCGUUCAUGGAAGUGCUCCCAUGUCACAUGUUUAUGCACCUGCGCAGCAAAAUUCACAGCAUUCUUCCUGUUUAGCAUCGGUGCCUUCUCCUCCCCCUCCCUUUGGUUCACACCAUCUUGAAAUCUCGCCGCCUUAUAGAGGUUUGCCUCCUCCACCACCUUCACAAGGUCAGGGGUUUUAUAAAUCUCCAGUUCAUUCGUUGCCAAAACAGCUAGCUGGUGUGCAGGGUCAUGUUCCCCCUUCACCUCCCCCACCUUUUCCUCCAACUUCCAGUUUCCUGACUCCUGCUCUCUCUGGGAGUUCUGCUGAGCCUCACGUUGGAAAUCCUCAAACGCUUUCCACAGAUCCUCCCCCACCCCCACCACCGCCGCCCCUACCACUAACCUCUUCUGCACCAUCCAUUCCACCUCUGCAUAACUCCCACAUGAUGCCAUUAUCUGCACCCAUGCUAGAUGGUUCCAUUCCACAAUUUUACUCUGAUUUUGCUUCCAAUUCCUCCAAACCUUCUUGUGAUAAAUUGGGCCCUACUAGUUCCGCCAAUGAAGUCAUUCCUCUCAAUCAAGGUGGACAUAAUGUUCUCAUGCAUGAUGACAACUUAUAUCUGGAAGGUGGAAGUGGUGCUGGGGUGUGUUUUAAAUUGGAAGGAAAGACUUUUUCUGAACCCAGUCAUUUGAUGGAUGCAGUUGGAUCCCACAUGUCUUCUGACUCUGAUAUGGAGAUGGAAGAUGACAUUACACAGUCUGACAAUGACCAGGCAGUAAAUUACCCUGUUGGAGGUCAAACUCAUGGUAAUCAUUUGAUAGCUGGAGCAUUUGAUGUAAGAGAGCAGUUGCAUGAACUGCAGAGUUCAGCACAAUCUGACGCUUCGGCAAUGGUUUUAUCUCUCUCUGGCUCCUCAAGGCUGAAUAAUGGUGAACAAGGCUCAAAACUCAUCAAUUGUUAUAACCAAUUGACAUCUGGGGAGUCAGUUUCUGAAGUUCAUAGCCCAGUCAUUAAUUCUGCAGGAGCUGAUGAAAAAAGUUCAUCAAGGAUCAUGUCAGCUGCUGGAUGCAUCUAUUCUGAUAAAUAUUCUGGUGAAGUUUUUAAAGGAAGCAGCCCAUUCAAACUUGUUCAAGAUUAUGCUUCUGAGGAUUGCUCAGAAAAUACUGAGGAGCCCUGUUUGAAAGAUGACAUUCCUCAAACUGCCUCAGACUUGGUUACUGUUGGCUCUGAAGAUCUGCAGCAGCAACAACCACCCUAUGGUUUGGAUUGCUCUGCUAUUGAUAACGUGUAUGGUCUAUCUGGAAAGGUGGGUUCUUCAUCUAGACUCCCACCAGAUAUUCUGGACUCAAAUCAGCCAUCUCACCCGCCAGAUUUUGGAGCAAAAAAUUCAGCUCACCUGAAUUCUUAUCCAACUAGUUUUGAGCAGCCGCUCAACUCCGGAUUCAGUUCUGAUGUUGUAAGGCAAGAAAAGGUUCCAUCCUGUUCUUGUAAGGAUGAUCAUUCUUCAUGUUUGAACCAUGCUUCACUUGAUGGACAAGGUGUCAGUGUUGGAACAAGACAUCCAAUACCUUCGCCCAGUUCUGCCAGGGGUGUUGCACAAAUUAUUCCUAGCUCAGGAGGUGAUCAAUAUGAUCCGUUUUUAGACAGCAUCGAGCCAACUUCAAACUCAUUUAAGAGACUUGAUCACAUUCAGAAGUGGGAAUCCAUUGACACUGAUGUUAUGCCAAGGUUUAGUGCCUCAAACAAAUCUUUGGAUGUGGAAGAAAACAAGAAAGAAGUUAGAGGCAUUGUGGUUUCCACAUCUCUUGAUAAUGAGGAGUUUGGUGAGAUUGCAGAUGCAGAAGUGGGUGAUAUUGAGAAUCAGAGCCAGAGUACUCCUGUUGUAGUGAAUGUGAAUAUGGGUGAUAUGGAGAUUGAUCAGAUUAAGUCUCCAAAGAAGAGCAAAAAGAGCAAGGAGUCCAGAUCAAUGAAGCUCUUUAAGGUUACCCUUGCAGAUUUUGUCAAGGACGUUUUAAAGCCAUCAUGGCGACAGGGUAACAUGAGUAAGGAAGCAUUUAAGACUAUUGUCAAGAAGACGGUUGAUAAGGUUGCAGGAGCAAUGAAGAGCCAUCAAAUACCCAAGUCCAAGGCAAAAAUAGAUCAUUACAUUGACUCAUCGCAACAUAAAUUAACAAAACUUGUGAUGAGAGAUCAUCGAGCAGUCCUUUUCAAGAAAUGGAGCAGAAGCAUUCUUCAGAGCAUGCAGUCAGCAAACCUCUCGCAUGUUCAUGUUCUCUGUUCUGUGAGUAGAAUCUUUCAGUAGAAUUGGAUUGUUAUAGUGAAUUGUGAGAUUGAUGACUUUAUUGAAUUACAAGAAUUGAGACUUAUUAAUAUAUUUUGAAUGCAUGAGAUGCUGCUGUUAUGUUUCUCUUUAUUCCUUCCCUAGAAUGGUGAUGCAUACAUGUUUUGAUGAGAAUUCUGGAACAUUUUAUUCUUGUAAAUCAUGUUAUAAAUGGGUAUUUCAAUCUUGAAUUGCAUUGUGACUGGUUGUAUGGUCUAUUUUCCUUUAUGUCUGAUAGUUAUCUGAUAUUGUGAUGGCUUCCUUAAUUUAGUUUCUAAUUCAUAAAGCGACCUUGAUUAUUUUUUCAAUAAAUGCUUCCUACUCAACCUUCGUUUUAUGAUUCUCACAUAAAUUGUAUUCUUGGUCGAGGAAAUAUCCUGAGAAUUGUGAUUGUGCUCGGCCUCAGCGAGAUGAAAUCAAGUUACACUGGAUUAUUAAUUACUGUAUGCUUUGACAAUGAAGUGGGAUUUCAUUUAGUGGAGCUCGUUACGCGAACCCCUUGUUCUUACAUCUUACACAGAGGGAAGAAAAAAGAAAACCCUUUGGAGCAAUGUGGGAGGGUGGCGAUUUUAGGAAGUUUUACAUUUGGCCUUUCUCUGUAAAUAUUUCAGUUAAGAGACCUGUUGGGCAUGCAUGUGACUUAUGAGAGAAAUGGCUGCCGGAUCUUAGGAUCUUGCAAAAAGUAAAAUGCAACUGUUGGCUUGCCGUACUGGACAUGGAAUCAGAAGCUUUUUAGUUUCAUAUGAUUACCCUUCCUUA
Populus euphratica (Euphrates poplar) is the source of this 3666-nucleotide RNA transcript. RefSeq lists it as uncharacterized. The transcript has 6 exons. NCBI's taxonomy places the organism in Eukaryota, Viridiplantae, Streptophyta, Magnoliopsida, Malpighiales, Salicaceae. The record is from RefSeq and is a predicted model, not a curated record.